CUGAAAUUUAUCGAAAAGGUCCCAAAAUCUCAACAACCCGGAAUCUGAUUUUUCAAUUCUCGCUUCACCGUGUCUCAAGAACUCACCACCACUCUGUAAUAAUACGAUGUGUGAAUCAACGAUUUUGGUGUUCUUGAUACAAUUUGCAAUCCGUUCUUGCUCAAGUUUCGCUUGAAAUUUCAGAACCAUGAAGCAAGAUGAGGAAUUUGAAAACGCUUCUCCUUCGCAUCGGCGAAAAGGGUCCUGAUUACGGCACUUCCUCCAACUACAAAGACCAUAUCGAGACUUGUUCUGGUGUUAUUAGGAGAGAAAUCGAGCGUUCUGGAGACCAAGUUUUGCCUUUGCUACUUCAAUGUGCUGAACAGUUGCCUCACAAGAUUCCUUUGUGUGGGACUUUGUGACAAGCUGCUACAGUUAAUUGAGAUAUGAUUCCGACGAUGUCAACAACAUAAGUGUGUGUGCGUAUGUACGCACACCACAUAUAUUAUGCAAUGAAGGAAAAGUAGUUGCGUUGGAUAGCUUUUGCAUGCGUCUCAUCAUGCUGCCGUUGGCUGAGCUGAAGAUGGACAUGUUCGCUUGAGUUAUCUCUCAUGUCUAGACCAGUUGUGAGAAGAGAAUUUUUGUUUGUGAUUUUCACACCCUCAACCUCUGAAACCUAGAAUAAGCACACACAUAUUAUCCUCAGAUAAGAGAAAAAUUGUUCUAUCAUGUGACUCCUAGAUGCUUCCCAAAACCUCAA
Camelina sativa (false flax) is the source of this 739-nucleotide long non-coding RNA. RefSeq lists it as uncharacterized. NCBI's taxonomy places the organism in Eukaryota, Viridiplantae, Streptophyta, Magnoliopsida, Brassicales, Brassicaceae. The record is from RefSeq and is a predicted model, not a curated record.